Molecule: non-coding RNA, 81 nt
Organism: Paragonimus skrjabini miyazakii
Lineage: Eukaryota; Metazoa; Platyhelminthes; Trematoda; Plagiorchiida; Troglotrematidae
Source: the annotation of a GenBank genome assembly
GGCUUCGAAGCUCAGCUUGUAGAGCUCCUGCUGCGUUGAGGCAUGGUGUUUCUGUCGAUGGUUCGAAUCCAACCGAAGCCC